GAUUUCGAUCCUCCCUCAGAACAAACGCGGUCGGCGUGGUUAACACAUGCAAGUUGACCGGAAAUGGCCCUUGAGGGUACUCGAAAGGCGAACGAGUUGAGUAUACACGUGGGGGAUAUGCCCUCCGACUAUGGGAUAAGCUUGGGAAUCUGUGUUUAAUGCCAGAUCGGACCGCAUGCUUCAUGGUGUGUGUCGCAAAGCUCUUGCUCUGUGGGAUGAGCCCGCGACCUAUCAGCUCGUUGGUGGGGUAAUGCCCUACCAAGUGCGACGACGGGUAUCCGGCCUGAGAGGGUGACCGCCCACACUGGGAUUGAGAUACGGCCCACACUCGUACGGGAGGCAGCAGUGGGGAAUAUUGCACAAUGGCCGCAAGCCUGAUGCAGCGACGUCGCGUGAGGGAUGACGGCCUUCGGGUUGUAAACCUCUUUCAGUAGGGACGAAGCGAAAGUGACGGUACCUACAGAAGAAGGACCGGCCAACUACGUGCCAGCAGCCGCGGUAAUACGUAGGGUCCGAGCGUUGUCUGGAAUUACUGGGCGUAAAGAGCUCGUAGGUGGUUUGUCGCAUUGUUCGUGAAAACUCACAGCUUAACUGUGGGCGUGCGGGCGAUACGGGCAGACUAGAGUACUGCAGGGGAGACUGGAAUUCCUGGUGUAGCGGUGGAAUGCGCAGAUAUCAGGAGGAACACCGCGUGGCGAAGGCGGGUCUCUGGGCAGUAACUGACGCUGAGGAGCGAAAGCGUGGGGAGCAAACAGGAUUUAGAUACCCUGGUAGUCCACGCCGUAAACGAUGUCAACCAGCCGUUGGGUUCCUUGAGAACUUAGUGGCGCAGCUAACGCAUUAAGUUGACCGCCUGGGGAGUACGGCCGCAAGGUUAAAACUCAAAUGAAUUGACGGGGGCCCGCACAAGCGGUGGAGCAUGUGGUUUAAUUCGAAGCAACGCGAAGAACCUUACCUGGCCUUGACAUGCUGAGAACUUUCCAGAGAUGGAUUGGUGCCUUCGGGAACUCAGACACAGGUGCUGCAUGGCUGUCGUCAGCUCGUGUCGUGAGAGGGUGGGUUAAGUCCCGCAACGAGCGCAACCCUGGUCAUUAGUUCCCAGCAGGUAACGGUGGUCACUUUAAGGAGACAGCCGCCCACAAACAAGAGGAAGGUGGGGAGGAUGUUAACUCAUCACGAGCGCUACGCCCAGCGCUACACAAAGCAUGCAAUGGUCUGUACAAAGGGACCCCAAGUCGCGAGGUGGAGCUAGUCCCCUAAACCGAAUAGUAGUCCGGAUCUCAGUCGGCAACUAGUCGGGUAGAAGUAAGAACCGUUAGUAUUGGUGAAUAAGAAUGACGCGGGGAACAAGUU
This 1353-nucleotide ribosomal RNA is filed under the name uncultured bacterium. RNAcentral describes it as "partial 16S ribosomal RNA". It matches the Rfam family "Bacterial small subunit ribosomal RNA", at positions 9 to 1372 of the family's 1533-position model. The record is from RNAcentral.